This is a long non-coding RNA of Lolium perenne, 1546 nucleotides long. RefSeq lists it as uncharacterized. NCBI's taxonomy places the organism in Eukaryota, Viridiplantae, Streptophyta, Magnoliopsida, Poales, Poaceae. The record is from RefSeq and is a predicted model, not a curated record.
UCCGGCGCUAAAAUCGUUCCAGAAUCCCGCACAAUCCCCUUCACAACGCGAUCUCCUACAACAACAGUUAAUCCCGCACGAUCUCCUUACACAACGAUUGUGCAUGCUGUCCUCGUCUUGAUGUAGCCACAUUCGAGCCACGUCUCCUUCCCUCUCGCUCGCACUACGACCACCGCCAUUGACCGUCUGCGCCGAGGACAAGGCCAGCGCAUAGAUCAAAACAACGAGACACAGUCGCAUCCGUCGGCGACGUACGGAUCAGGAGCCAGCUCCUGAGCCUUCAUGCCGCCGGACGGACGCACGGAGCCACGGACAGGUUGUCGUCUGCGUCGUUCAGGAAUUCGGGAGUAUCGUCGGAUUUCUACCAUGUCGGUGGCGUUGGAAGUAUGACCGGUGCUAUGGGACUGGACGUGCACUGGUCCAAGCAAUGCAAACAAGAUGAGGGCCCGGGGCUCGCCAUCUCCCGCCUCAGGUAGCAGGCAGCGGCCUUUCGAGUCCGCCAUCGAGGUCAACGACAUCGACGUCGUCCUUCAGCGUGCAGCCGUGGAUCAGCUACUCCACCGUGACGAUGCGGAAGGCGUUGAUGUUCUGUCCUCUGCGCUCAAUUCCAGCCACAUCGAUAUAAAGGAGGCGAGUAUUUUCAUUGCUGAACGGGACACGUGAGAUGGUGAAGGAGAGACUGUUUUCGGGGGAGUAGCAGGAGGCCCUGCACGCUGACAACCUCAAGGUGCCACGCCGAAGACGACUAAGAAGCUCGACGGGAACGAGUAGCGGGUCUUCCUAGAGUGGCACUGUAACAUCACGAGGUUGGCGCAAGUCUCAUUUGUUUCUGUGCCGUUGUUCAAAAAUUGUUGCCAUCAAUGUUUUUUCCGAAGCCAUAUCCCAGGUCAUGUCUUAGAAGACAUAAUCCCCCAUGCUUAAUCUUAAUAGUUCGCCCAUCCACUUGUAUUCUCUUCACACAUCCUGCCAGGUGCCCCCUGGAUUUGAUCCAUGUGGUACCUAGACUACUGCAGUGUAAGCACUUUCUCAUUUUGAUAUUUGCAUAAGGCGUCGUAUCUUAUGCAUCCACACGAUUCGUGUAUCCCUGCAUCCAAAACAAUUAUGACCAGUUGAUCCUAAUCGUAGCGUUUAGAGUGAUUUUCUAAAAACAUGCCCGCUGCCUCCCUACCUAGCGCUGCAAAUUUGCACAUGCACCCCUGUCGCACCAGACGCACAAGCCCACGUCGUACCCCACGAUCAAUCGGAGUUGCAAGUAUCGAUCUCCAUGGCGGCGACCCACAGGUAGACUUCAAGACACGAAGAGAAUCCAUCGGACGGCCGGAACUCCGACCAAACACAGGAUCACGGCACUUGUUGGAUUUCGUCCGAUCUUCUAGGGCGGCUCUCGCCGUGCACUUUCCAGCGAGGUACGUACUUCCAGCUGAUUCAAUAUCGUUCUGAAACUUUCAGCUAGCCAUGCGAACCUUAUUGAUUAGAAUUUUCUACAUAUUGUACUGGGAGUCUGGAACUAUCAUGUGCUUUAAUCAAACAGCAGCCACAAACAUAU